Molecule: ribosomal RNA, 437 nt
Filed under: uncultured Bacillota bacterium
Lineage: Bacteria; Bacillati; Bacillota
Description: bacterial SSU rRNA
Rfam family: Bacterial small subunit ribosomal RNA
Source: RNAcentral
GAGCCCGCACAAGCAGUGGAGUAUGUGGAUUAAUUCGAAGCAACGCGAAGAACCUUACCAGAGCUUGACAUCGCCGGAAUGCCGAGUAAUGUUGGCAGUGCCCUUCGGGGAGCCGGUAGACAGGUGGUGCAUGGUUGUCGUCAGCUCGUGUCGUGAGAUGUUGGGUUAAGUCCCGCAACGAGCGCAACCCUUACUGUCAGUUGCUACGCAAGAGCACUCUGACAGGACUGCCGUGGAUAACGCGGAGGAAGGUGGGGAUGACGUCAAAUCAUCAUGCCCCUUACGCCCUGGGCCUCACACGUACUACAAUGGAUUUACACAGAGGGAGCAACGGCGCGAGCCUGAGCAAAUCCCAAAAAGAGUCCUCAGUUCGGACUGCAGGCUGCAACUCGCCUGCACGAAGUUGGAAUUGCUAGUAAUCGCGAAUCAGAAUGUCG